RNAcentral lists this ribosomal RNA (253 nucleotides) under uncultured bacterium. RNAcentral's name for it is "partial 16S ribosomal RNA". It matches the Rfam family "Bacterial small subunit ribosomal RNA", at positions 524 to 776 of the family's 1533-position model. The record is from RNAcentral.
UACGAAGGGGGCUAGCGUUGUUCGGAAUUACUGGGCGUAAAGCGCGUGUAGGCGGUUCGGUAAGUCCGCUGUGAAAGUCGGGGGCUCAACCCUCGGAUGGCGGUGGAUACUGUCGGACUAGAGUACGGAAGAGGCGAGUGGAAUUCCUGGUGUAGCGGUGAAAUGCGCAGAUAUCAGGAGGAACACCGAUUGCGAAGGCAGCUCGCUGGGACGUUACUGACGCUGAGACGCGAAAGCGUGGGGAGCAAACAGG